Molecule: ribosomal RNA, 238 nt
Filed under: uncultured bacterium
Lineage: Bacteria
Description: partial 16S ribosomal RNA
Rfam family: Bacterial small subunit ribosomal RNA
Source: RNAcentral
CGGAACGGGUGAGUAACGCGUGAGGGACCUGCCUCAAAGAGGGGGACAACAGUUGGAAACGACUGCUAAUACCGCAUAAGCCCACGGGUCGGCAUCGACCAGAGGAAAAAGGAGCAAUCCGCUUUGAGAUGGCCUCGCGUCCGAUUAGCUAGUUGGUGAGGUAAUGGCCCACCAAGGCAACGAUCGGUAGCCGGACUGAGAGGUUGAACGGCCACAUUGGGACUGAGACACGGCCCAG